GUCUAUGCCAUACCACACCGAACGCAUCUGAUCUUGUCUGAUCUUGGAAGCUAAGCAGGAUCAAGCCUGGUUAGUGCUUGGAUGGGAGACCCCCGUUAAAAUAGCACUGUAGGCU
This 115-nucleotide ribosomal RNA is filed under the name Nomascus leucogenys (northern white-cheeked gibbon). The record is from RNAcentral. Lineage: Eukaryota; Metazoa; Chordata; Mammalia; Primates; Hylobatidae.